GACGAACGCUGGCGGCGUGCUUAACACAUGCAAGUCGAACGGUGAAGCCCCUUCGGGGGUGGAUCAGUGGCGAACGGGUGAGUAACACGUGAGCAACCUGCCCUUGACUCUGGGAUAACUCCGGGAAACCGGAGCUAAUACCGGAUACGACACGCGAAGGCAUCUUCUGCGUGUGGAAAGAUUUAUCGGUCAAGGAUGGGCUCGCGGCCUAUCAGCUUGUUGGUGGGGUAACGGCCCACCAAGGCGACGACGGGUAGCCGGCCUGAGAGGGCGACCGGCCACACUGGGACUGAGACACGGCCCAGACUCCUACGGGAGGCAGCAGUGGGGAAUAUUGCGCAAUGGGCGAAAGCCUGACGCAGCGACGCCGCGUGAGGGAUGAAGGCCUUCGGGUUGUAAACCUCUUUCAGCAGGGAAGAAGCGAAAGUGACGGUACCUGCAGAAGAAGCACCGGCUAACUACGUGCCAGCAGCCGCAGUAAAAC
This 484-nucleotide ribosomal RNA is filed under the name uncultured bacterium. RNAcentral's name for it is "bacterial SSU rRNA". It matches the Rfam family "Bacterial small subunit ribosomal RNA", at positions 28 to 526 of the family's 1533-position model. The record is from RNAcentral.